RNAcentral lists this ribosomal RNA (425 nucleotides) under uncultured bacterium. Its description in RNAcentral is "partial 16S ribosomal RNA". It matches the Rfam family "Bacterial small subunit ribosomal RNA", at positions 354 to 796 of the family's 1533-position model. The record is from RNAcentral.
GUGGGGAAUCUUAGACAAUGGGGGAAACCCUGAUCUAGCCAUGCCGCGUGAGCGAUGAAGGCCUUAGGGUUGUAAAGCUCUUUCAGAUGGGAAGAUAAUGACGGUACCAUCAGAAGAAGCCCCGGCUAACUCCGUGCCAGCAGCCGCGGUAAUACGGAGGGGGCUAGCGUUGUUCGGAAUUACUGGGCGUAAAGCGCACGUAGGCGGACCAGAAAGUCAGAGGUGAAAUCCCAGGGCUCAACCUUGGAACUGCCUUUGAAACUCCUGGUCUUGAGGUCGAGAGAGGUGAGUGGAAUUCCGAGUGUAGAGGUGAAAUUCGUAGAUAUUAGGAGGAACACCAGUGGCGAAGGCGGCUCACUGGCUCGAUACUGACGCUGAGGUGCGAAAGCGUGGGGAGCAAACAGGAUUAGAAACCCCGGUAGUCC